GAUCAUGGCUCAGGAUGAACGCUAGCUACAGGCUUAACACAUGCAAGUCGAGGGGAAACGACAUCGAAAGCUUGCUUUUGAUGGGCGUCGACCGGCGCACGGGUGAGUAACGCGUAUCCAACCUGCCCGCCACUUGGGGAUAACCUUGCGAAAGUAAGACUAAUACCCAAUGAUACCUCUAGAAGACAUCUGAAAGAGAUUAAAGAUUUAUCGGUGAUGGAUGGGGAUGCGUCUGAUUAG
RNAcentral lists this ribosomal RNA (240 nucleotides) under uncultured bacterium. Its description in RNAcentral is "partial 16S ribosomal RNA". It matches the Rfam family "Bacterial small subunit ribosomal RNA", at positions 15 to 244 of the family's 1533-position model. The record is from RNAcentral.